Non-coding RNA from Ornithorhynchus anatinus (platypus), 64 nucleotides. NCBI's taxonomy places the organism in Eukaryota, Metazoa, Chordata, Mammalia, Monotremata, Ornithorhynchidae. The record is from Rfam.
GCAAGGAGGUCGUAGGUCAUGCAGAGUGAUGGCGGAAUAUGCUGCACUGCGUGCGACCUCCCUU